CUCUACAUUUUGAGACUAAAAAAAGAGCAUGGAAUGUACAUCAAAGUACUCCUCUCAUAACCACAGCCAGGACUCGUCAAAGCCCUAAAAAGGAUCUGUCGACGUUCUCGGGUUAAGAAACAUGAUCCCCGCUGCUACCGGGUUAAACUAAAAAAAAAUUGUCAAGGACAGUCAAAUUUAGUCAAGCAAAGUCAAAUUUAGUCAAGCUAGGUAUGGCAAGUAGUGAAUUUACCCAUAGUUAAUGGAACAUAAGUACUUAAUAUUGACUGCCAUUAUCAUUUGUAUUUUCUUUUAGGGCCCACAAAUGGACACGGAGUGUUGUGGAACGGGGAAUAGGACAGCUCAAGCGCCGCUUUCAUGUCCUACACAGCGAGGUCCGAGUAACUCCCCCGGUGAAGGUGUGCAAGCUGAUACAUGUAUGCGGCAUGCUCCACAACAUCUGCAAGGACAGGAAUAUUCCCAUUCCUCUCGAUGCGGCUCAACCUAACGGUGAAGAAGUGGAUCUUGCCAUGGCACAACCUGAAGGUGUGCAAGUUGUGCCGCCACUUCCAGCUGGUCAGCGGAAUGAAGGUCGCCUGUAUCGAGAUGAAUUCUGCAACUUGCAUUUCCACAAUGAAGACUGAAACCCGUUCCUCAGCACGACUGGACAAGUACAUGCCAAGCUGCCUCCCGUGCCCUUUCAGCUGCCUCCUGUG
This is a long non-coding RNA of Eriocheir sinensis (Chinese mitten crab), 695 nucleotides long. RefSeq lists it as uncharacterized. NCBI's taxonomy places the organism in Eukaryota, Metazoa, Arthropoda, Malacostraca, Decapoda, Varunidae. The transcript is spliced from 3 exons. The record is from RefSeq and is a predicted model, not a curated record.